CCUACGGGUGGCAGCAGUGGGGAAUAUUGGGCAAUGGAGGCAACUCUGACCCAGCAACGCCGCGUGAAUGAUGAAGGUCUUCGGAUUGUAAAGUUCUUUUCUAAGGGAAGAAGAAAGUGACGGUCCCUCAGGACUAAGCCUCGUCUAACUACGUGCCUGCAGCCGCGGUAAUCCGUAGGCGGCAAGCGUUAUCCGGAAUGACUGGGGGUAAAGGGUGCGUAGGUGGUUUGACAAGUUAGUAGCGCAACUCCGGAGCUCAACUUCGGCACUACUACUAACACUGGUGGACUUGAGUGCAGGAGAGGCAAUCGGAAUGCCUAGUGUAGCGGUGGAAUGCGUAGAUAUUAGGAGGAACACCAGUGGCGAAGGCAGAUUGCUAGACUGUAACUGACACUGAGGCACGAAAGCGUGGGGAGCAAACAGGAUUAGAUACCCUUGUAGUC
This 443-nucleotide ribosomal RNA is filed under the name uncultured bacterium. Its description in RNAcentral is "partial 16S ribosomal RNA". It matches the Rfam family "Bacterial small subunit ribosomal RNA", at positions 338 to 795 of the family's 1533-position model. The record is from RNAcentral.